UACGAAGGGUGCAAGCGUUAAUCGGAAUUACUGGGCGUAAAGGGUGCGUAGGCGGUUAUUUAAGUCUGCCGUGAAAUCCCCGGGCUCAACCUGGGAAUGGCGGUGGAUACUGGAUAGCUAGAGUGUGUCAGAGGAUGGUGGAAUUCCCGGUGUAGCGGUGAAAUGCGUAGAGAUCGGGAGGAACAUCAGUGGCGAAGGCGGCCAGUCUGGGACAACACGUGCGCUGAAGCACGAAGCGUGGG
RNAcentral lists this ribosomal RNA (242 nucleotides) under uncultured bacterium. RNAcentral describes it as "partial 16S ribosomal RNA". It matches the Rfam family "Bacterial small subunit ribosomal RNA", at positions 524 to 765 of the family's 1533-position model. The record is from RNAcentral.